Molecule: ribosomal RNA, 122 nt
Filed under: Diaphorina citri (Asian citrus psyllid)
Lineage: Eukaryota; Metazoa; Arthropoda; Insecta; Hemiptera; Psyllidae
Source: RNAcentral
GACAGCUGAGAUAGCAACUUGCAUGAACCAGUUCCCAAUGAAUCACUGAAGUUAAGCAACGUUCUGCGUGGUUUGUUAGUAUCUGGAUGGGUGACCAUCUGGACAAUCGCGUGCUGCUGGCU